AUGGAUCUGACGCAGGUGCUGCCGGAGGAAAUACUCGCCGACGUGCUCCACCGCGUCGCGCCGCGCGGCCUUGCCGUGUGCCGCUGCGCCUGCAAGGCCCUGCUCGCCGUCAUCGACGCCCGCCGCCUGCUGCGCGCGGACGUCCUCCCGCUCUCCGUCGGCGGCGUAUUCAUCAAUUUCUACUGCGAACGUGUGUCGGAGUUCUUCGCCAGUCCCUCCACCGGCCCCACCAUCUCCGGCAGGUUCGACUUCCACCCAUACUGGAUUAUGAUCGCCCUGUUCUUGGCCCAUGGGUCUUACAAGAUAUUAACUAUAAUGGGUAUCUCAAAGAGAGAAAGGAUCUCAUUGAAGGUGGCGAAGAUACAGAAUACAUGGAAUACCUAA
RNAcentral lists this ribosomal RNA (384 nucleotides) under Triticum aestivum (bread wheat). Its description in RNAcentral is "partial small subunit ribosomal RNA". The record is from RNAcentral. Lineage: Eukaryota; Viridiplantae; Streptophyta; Magnoliopsida; Poales; Poaceae.